AGUAGGUCCCAAGGGUUUGGCUGUUCGCCAAUUAAAGGGGUACGUGAGCUGGGUUCAGUACGUCGUGAGACAGUACGGUCUCUAUCUACCGUGGGCGCAGGAAACUUGAGAGGACUCGUUCUUAGUACGAGAGGACCGGAAUGAACAUACCUCUGGUGUUUCUGUUGUUCCGCCAGGAGCAUUGCAGAGUAGCCAAGUAUGGAUGAGAUAAACACUGAAAGCAUAUAAGUGUGAAACUCGCCUCAAGAUAAGGUUUCCCUGAAGGGCACUUGUAGACUACGAGUUUGAUAGGUUGGAAGUGGAAGUACAGUAAUGUAUGAAGCUAACCAAUACUAAUUGCCCGUUCGGCUUGGUCAC
RNAcentral lists this ribosomal RNA (357 nucleotides) under Candidatus Endomicrobiellum guadaloupense. RNAcentral describes it as "partial 23S ribosomal RNA". It matches the Rfam family "Bacterial large subunit ribosomal RNA", at positions 2557 to 2925 of the family's 2925-position model. Lineage: Bacteria; Pseudomonadati; Elusimicrobiota; Endomicrobiia; Endomicrobiales; Endomicrobiaceae. The record is from RNAcentral.